UGGGAUUAGCAUCCUGUCACCAGGUAGCGGCCUUCUGUACCCCCCAUUGUAACACGUGUGUAGCCCCGGACGUAAGGGCCGUGCUGAUUUGACGUCAUCCCCACCUUCCUCACAUCUUACGACGGCAGUCUCUCCAGAGUCCUCAGCAUGACCUGUUAGUAACUGAAGAUAAGGGUUGCGCUCGUUAUGGCACUUAAGCCGACACCUCACGGCACGAGCUGACGACAACCAUGCAGCACCUUCACAUUUGUCUUACGACUAACCAAUUUCUUGAUUAUUCAAAUGCAAUUUAAGCCCGGGUAAGGUUCCUCGCGUAUCAUCGAAUUAAACCACAUGUUCCUCCGCUUGUGCGGGCCCCCGUCAAUUCCUUUGAGUUUCACCGUUGCCGGCGUACUCCCCAGGUGGAAUACUUAAUGCUUUCGCUUGGCCGCUUACUGUAUAUCGCAAACAGCGAGUAUUCAUCGUUUACUGUGUGGACUACCAGGGUAUCUAAUCCUGUUUGAUACCCACACUUUCGAGCAUCAGUGUCAGUUGCAGUCCAGUGAGCUGCCUUCGCAAUCGGAGUUCUUCGUGAUAUCUAAGCAUUUCACCGCUACACCACGAAUUCCGCCCACCUCUACUGUACUCAAGACAGCCAGUAUCAACUGCAAUUUUACGGUUGAGCCGCAAACUUUCACAACUGACUUAACUGUCCACCUACGCUCCCUUUAAACCCAAUAAAUCCGGAUAACGCUCGGAUCCUCCGUAUUACCGCGGCUGCUGGCACGGAGUUAGCCGAUCCUUAUUCAUAUGGUACAUACAAAAAUCCACACGUGGACCACUUUAUUCCCAUAUAAAAGAAGUUUACAACCCAUAGGGCAGUCAUCCUUCACGCUACUUGGCUGGUUCAGACUCUCGUCCAUUGACCAAUAUUCCUCACUGCUGCCUCCCGUAGGAGUUUGGACCGUGUCUCAGUUCCAAUGUGGGGGACCUUCCUCUCAGAACCCCUAUCCAUCGAAGGUUUGGUGGGCCGUUACCCCACCAACUGCCUAAUGGAACGCAUCCCCAUCGAUAACCGAAAUUCUUUAAUAAUCAAACCAUGCGGUUCUAUUAUGCCAUCGGGUAUUAAUCUUUCUUUCG
This 1119-nucleotide ribosomal RNA is filed under the name Bacteroides faecis. RNAcentral's name for it is "partial 16S ribosomal RNA". Lineage: Bacteria; Pseudomonadati; Bacteroidota; Bacteroidia; Bacteroidales; Bacteroidaceae. The record is from RNAcentral.